Modestobacter marinus is the source of this 376-nucleotide non-coding RNA. It matches the Rfam family "transfer-messenger RNA". Rfam says of the family: Bacterial tmRNA, also known as 10Sa RNA or SsrA, is named for its dual tRNA and mRNA-like properties. The record is from Rfam. Lineage: Bacteria; Bacillati; Actinomycetota; Actinomycetes; Geodermatophilales; Geodermatophilaceae.
GGGGGCGAUUGGUCUCGACUGCGGUCGGGUGACCAGGGGAAGCGAGCCGAGGAAGGCAACGAUGAGCUCGUUAACCACGCGUUGCAAAAAACACAAGCGCCGACUCCAGUCAGCGCGACUUCGCUCUCGCUGCCUAACAGCAGCUAGGCGAGUCUGUCAGCCCGGGUUCGUCAUCGACCCGGUUCCUGGCAUCAGCUAGAUGACUCACUGCACGCACCGGUCGCGGGUGCGUGCGGGACACCAAACAGCGGCUGGGCCCGUCACACCGACUUGUUCGCGGGAUCGGUGGGGUCGAGCAGAGACAGAGCGGACUGCGCUCGGAGAAGCCCUGGUGAUGCGUCGCAGGACGCGGGUUCGAUUCCCGCCGCCUCCACCA